Non-coding RNA from Acanthosepion pharaonis, 99 nucleotides. The record is from the annotation of a GenBank genome assembly. NCBI's taxonomy places the organism in Eukaryota, Metazoa, Mollusca, Cephalopoda, Sepiida, Sepiidae.
CAUGUUGAAACCAGUUCUUGUCUGAUCACCAAAGUUAAGCAAUGUUGAGUCUGGUCAGUACCUAGAUUGGUGACCAUUUGGGAAUACUAGGUACUGUAA